AGAGCCAUGGCUCACUGGGCAAAGCAUCUGCUUUGCAUGCAGAAGGUCCCAGGUUCAAUCCCUGGUAUCUUUA
Podarcis lilfordi (Lilford's wall lizard) is the source of this 73-nucleotide non-coding RNA. NCBI's taxonomy places the organism in Eukaryota, Metazoa, Chordata, Lepidosauria, Squamata, Lacertidae. The record is from the annotation of a GenBank genome assembly.